Molecule: ribosomal RNA, 175 nt
Filed under: Gymnogeophagus balzanii
Lineage: Eukaryota; Metazoa; Chordata; Actinopteri; Cichliformes; Cichlidae
Description: partial 12S rRNA
Source: RNAcentral
UACCGCGGUUAUACGAGAGGCCCGAGUUGAUAGGCACCGGCGUAAAGGGUGGUUAAGGAAAUUUAAUACUAAAGCCGAAUAUCCUCAAGGCUGUUCAAUUUUUAACGUUUCCGAGGAUAAGAAGCCCCACUACGAAAGUGGCUUUAUUAAACCUGACCCCACGAAAGCUGCGAAA